Molecule: unclassified non-coding RNA, 1289 nt
Filed under: Hevea brasiliensis (rubber tree)
Lineage: Eukaryota; Viridiplantae; Streptophyta; Magnoliopsida; Malpighiales; Euphorbiaceae
Source: RNAcentral
AUUCUGAUUUAUAGCAGGAACAUGACUUAGCAUAUGCAUCAUUUGAGAUGUGUAUUUGAUGUGUUGAGGAAAGAGAAAUCAUAUGGUAAUUUGAAAAAAUGCUAAUUUUGCAUGGAAAAAGUUAUUUUCUUAAGUUAUGUGGUUAGUGGACAUCUUAUUGAAGUUGACGAGGAAAAGGUUAAAGCUAUUAGAGAUCGGCAAACUCCUAAAUCUGUGUCUGAUGUGCUUAGUUUUCAUGGAUUGGCUAGUUUUUAUAGAAGAUUUGUGAAAUAUUUGUGAAAUAGUUUAGUAACAUUGUUGCACCAAUGAAUAAGCUUGUUAAGAAAAAUGUUACAGGAAGAUGCAUUUCAGUUGAUUAAGGAUAAAUUGUGUUCUACUCCUAUGUUGUGUUUACCUAAUUUUUCUAGGAUUUUUUAGAUUAAAUAUGAUGCUUUUGGCAUAGUUAUUGGUGUUGUCUUAAUGCAGGAAAGGAGACCAAUUGCAUAUUUUAGUGAGAAGUUAAAUGGAGCUGCACUAAAUUAUUCUACAUAUGACAUGCAAUUAUACGCAUUGGUUCAUGUUUUGGAGAAGGAGCAUCAUUAUCUGUAUCCUAAACAAUUUGUCAUUCAUACUAACCACGAGUCAUUGAAGCAUCUGAAGGGACAGAACAAGUUGAACAGGCGGCAAGCCAAGUAGGUGUAGUUUAUUGAGACAUUGCCUCAUGUGAUUCAGUACAAGCAUGGAAAGGAAAAUGUGACAGCUGAUGCUUUGUCUAGAAGGUAUAACUUAUUAUCCUUGAUGCUAAGUUGUUUGGUUUUGAGUUUAUGAAAGAUUUGUGUGCUGAGGAUGUUCAUUUUGGUAUUGUGUUUGUUGCUUGUGAAAAGACUGCAUUUCAGAAGUUUUAUUAACAUGAUGAAUUUUUGUUCAAAGAAAAUAGAUUAUAUGUGCCUAAUUGUUUAUUUCGUGAAUAGCUUGUGAUUGAGUCACAUUCUGGUGGUUUAAUAGGACAUUUUGGUGUGGCCAAAACUUUAGACAUUUUGAGGGAACAUUUUUUUUUAGCCACAUAUGAGAAGGGAUGUGGAAACAGUGUGUGCUAAAUGUGUUGCAUGCAAAAAGGCUAAAUCUAUUGUUUUACCACACGGUUUGUAUACACCUUUACUCGUACCUAGUACACCUUGGACUGAUGUGUCUGUGGAUUUUAUUCUUGGUUUACCUAGGUCUAGAAAAGGUCACCACAGUUAUUUUUAGCUGUGGAUAAAUUUUCUAAGAUGGCACAUUCUAUUCCUUGCCAUAAGACUAAUAAUGCUGCA